AGUGAACGCUGGCGGUAGGCCUAACACAUGCAAGUCGAACGGCAGCACAGUAAGAGCUUGCUCUUACGGGUGGCGAGUGGCGGACGGGUGAGGAAUACAUCGGCAUCUACUUUUUCGUGGGGGAUAACGUAGGGAAACUUACGCUAAUACCGCAUACGACCUACGGGUGAAAGCAGGGGAUCUUCGGACCUUGCGCGAUUCAAUGAGCCGAUGUCGGAUUAGCUAGUUGGCGGGGUAAAGGCCCACCAAGGCGACGAUCCGUAGCUGGUCUGAGAGGAUGAUCAGCCACACUGGAACUGAGACACGGUCCAGACUCCUACGGGAGGCAGCAGUGGGGAAUAUUGGACAAUGGGCGCAAGCCUGAUCCAGCCAUACCGCGUGGGUGAAGAAGGCCUUCGGGUUGUAAAGCCCUCUUGUUGGGAAAGAAAAGCAGCAGGUUAAUACCCCGCUGUUCUGACGGUACCCAAAGAAUAAGCACCGGCUAACUUCGUG
RNAcentral lists this ribosomal RNA (492 nucleotides) under uncultured bacterium. Its description in RNAcentral is "partial 16S ribosomal RNA". It matches the Rfam family "Bacterial small subunit ribosomal RNA", at positions 29 to 507 of the family's 1533-position model. The record is from RNAcentral.